AGAGUUUGAUCCUGGCUCAGGAUGAACGCUAGCUACAGGCUUAACACAUGCAAGUCGAGGGGCAGCAUGGUCUUAGCUUGCUAAGACCGAUGGCGACCGGCGCACGGGUGAGUAACGCGUAUCCAACCUGCCGAAGGCCCGGGGGCAGCCUCCCGAAAGGGAGAUUAAUACCCGAUGGCGCGGGGAAACCGCAUGGUUUUCCCGCUAAAGGAAUCCGGCCUUCGAUGGGGAUGCGUUCCAUUAGGUAGUAGGCGGGGCAACGGCCCACCUAGCCGACGAUGGAUAGGGGUUCUGAGAGGAAGGUCCCCCACAUUGGAACUGAGACACGGUCCAAACUCCUACGGGAGGCAGCAGUGAGGAAUAUUGGUCAAUGGGCGCGAGCCUGAACCAGCCAAGUAGCGUGAAGGACGAAGGCCCUAUGGGUUGUAAACUUCUUUUGCGGGGGGAUAAAACGCGCCACGCGUGGCGUCUUGCAGGUACCCCGCGAAUAAGGGUCGGCUAACUCCGUGCCAGCAGCCGCGGUAAUACGGAGGACCCGAGCGUUAUCCGGAUUUAUUGGGUUUAAAGGGUGCGUAGGCGGGACCUUAAGUCAGUUGUGAAAUCCGGCGGCCCAACCGUCGGCCUGCAGUUGAUACUGGGGUCCUUGAGUUCGGACGAGGCAGGCGGAAUUCGUGGUGUAGCGGUGAAAUGCAUAGAUAUCACGAAGAACCCCGAUUGCGUAGGCAGCCUGCCAGGCCGCGACUGACGCUGAGGCACGAAAGAGCGGGUAUCGAACAGGAUUAGAUACCCUGGUAGUCCGCACAGUAAACGAUGAAUACUCGCUGUCCGCGAUAGACUGCGGGCGGCCGAGCGAAAGCGUUAAGUAUUCCA
Molecule: ribosomal RNA, 870 nt
Filed under: uncultured bacterium
Lineage: Bacteria
Description: bacterial SSU rRNA
Rfam family: Bacterial small subunit ribosomal RNA
Source: RNAcentral